AACGACUCUCGGCAACGGAUAUCUCGGCUCUCGCAUCGAUGAAGAACGUAGCGAAAUGCGAUACUUGGUGUGAAUUGCARAAUCCCGUGAACCAUCGAGUCUUUGAACGCAAGUUGCGCCCGAAGCCAUUAGGCCGAGGGCACGUCUGCAUGGGCGUCACGC
This 162-nucleotide ribosomal RNA is filed under the name Cyananthus longiflorus. RNAcentral describes it as "5.8S ribosomal RNA". It matches the Rfam family "5.8S ribosomal RNA". Rfam says of the family: 5.8S ribosomal RNA (5.8S rRNA) is a component of the large subunit of the eukaryotic ribosome. Lineage: Eukaryota; Viridiplantae; Streptophyta; Magnoliopsida; Asterales; Campanulaceae. The record is from RNAcentral.